This 253-nucleotide ribosomal RNA is filed under the name uncultured bacterium. RNAcentral describes it as "partial 16S ribosomal RNA". It matches the Rfam family "Bacterial small subunit ribosomal RNA", at positions 524 to 776 of the family's 1533-position model. The record is from RNAcentral.
UACAGAGGGGGCAAGCGUUGUUCGGAAUUACUGGGCGUAAAGGGCGCGUAGGCGGCCUGCUAAGUCGAACGUGAAAUCCCUGGGCUCAACCCAGGAACUGCGUCCGAUACUGGUUGGCUUGAAUCCGGGAGAGGGAUGUGGAAUUCCAGGUGUAGCGGUGAAAUGCGUAGAUAUCUGGAGGAACACCGGUGGCGAAGGCGACAUCCUGGACCGGUAUUGGCGCUGAGGCGCGAAAGCCAGGGGAGCAAACGGG